ACGGAAGGCAGCAGUCGGGAAUAUUGCGCAAUGGAGGGAACUCUGACGCAGUGACGCCGCGUAUAGGAAGAAGGUUUUCGGAUUGUAAACUAUUUUAGACAGGGAAGAAAUUGACAGUACCUGUAGAAUAAGCUCCGGCUAACUACGUGCCAGCAGCCGCGGUAAUACGUAGGGAGCAAGCGUUAUCCGGAUUUAUUGGGUGUAAAGGGUGCGUAGACGGGAAAUCAAGUUAGUUGUGAAAGCCCUCGGCUUAACUGAGGAACUGCAACUAAAACUAAUUUUCUUGAGUGCAGGAGAGGAAAGCGGAAUUCCUAGUGUAGCGGUGAAAUGCGUAGAUAUUAGGAGGAACACCAGUGGCGAAGGCGGCUUUCUGGACAAUAACUGACGUUGAGGCACGAAAGUGUGGGGAGCAAACAGGAUUAGAUACCCUGGUA
Molecule: ribosomal RNA, 434 nt
Filed under: uncultured Anaerobacterium sp.
Lineage: Bacteria; Bacillati; Bacillota; Clostridia; Eubacteriales; Oscillospiraceae
Description: partial 16S ribosomal RNA
Rfam family: Bacterial small subunit ribosomal RNA
Source: RNAcentral